RNAcentral lists this small RNA (1949 nucleotides) under Arabidopsis thaliana (thale cress). RNAcentral describes it as "ATSL262820". The record is from RNAcentral. Lineage: Eukaryota; Viridiplantae; Streptophyta; Magnoliopsida; Brassicales; Brassicaceae.
AUGAAAUAAUUAAGUUGUUGGGAUGUAUCAUAUAUUAGGUGGAGACUUUCUUAUCAUCGUAUGUGCAAAUACAAUAUUGUUCUUCUUUUCUCCUCACCUUAUCUUAGUUUGUGCUGCUUUUCCAAAGAUAACAUUCUACUGAAAAAGUCUUUAAUCUCUAAAACCAUGAAUUCAAUAUAUAUGAGCUUCAUUUUCCCUAAAUUUUACAACUACAUCCUCUCAUUACUAUAAGACAUAUAAGCUUUAUCCAUAUAUUUCAGGUCUUUUCUCAUUCUUCCCAAUCAACCAAAAUCAUAGUUUCAUUUCAUAUUCCCUUCCUAUCCCUACACUUUCUUUUUAAUAAAUCGUUUUUUCACAAUCUUCUCAAUAUGUAUAUGAAUUUUUGGUCUUCACAAUUCGUUCUCGAUAGAUCAAUCGUUUUUUUUUUGCCUUUUUGCAACCUUUCAUUGUGUUUGUCUUCAUUCCCAAAUCUACUCUUCAUGAUUCUCAAUUGUGUGAUCCUUAUGCGGAAGUAUAAACUCUAUUUUGACCAAAAAUAUUUAACAAUAUUUCCCUGUGUUUAGGGGUUGGAGGUAUGAUUAGUAGGCUUAAUUAUAAAGUUCUCGUUCAACAAGAAUACUUCAUUAUGUGAUUGUACCAACCACAAAUUUUAACAAAUAUGUGAUCCAAUUGUUAUAAUGUAAUGGCUACUAAUGUGGUUGAAGUUGAAAUAUUAACAAAUUUAAUGAUACCAAUAAAUAAUUGUCGAUGUUUUUCCAUUUCUUUUAUUCUUAUAGACUGGUUAUAUAUAUAAAACUUAACAAAUUAAUUACUGAGAUAACUAAUUGUGAUUAGAUAUUUAUAAUUUGAUGUAGACACGCAAAUAGUUUCGCUCCCAGACGAUACUAUCGAGGAACAACUUCGAAAUUUUUUCUCCGGCGCCGGUGGAGUUCUCUCUCGUCGGCGUCGGGAACUCUCUGCUUCUCGAUUCAUUUGCAAACUCUUUCGAUCCCUUUGUAACCUUUUCAUCCUUCUAGCUUCUCUUUUUCAAAUUUUUUUUUCUCUUGAACUCUUCUUCUCCAUGCAUACCUUCUACGGAACUUCAGAGAUCCUUGAUAGAACAUGGUGGUGGUUCCCCGUGAGCCAUCUCUUAGAUCUGCUCAGGUCGUUGGUACUGAAGUCGGCAAUAGAGAAGCCUCUCGAAUCCAAAUGUUCUCUAGCCUUGAAACUCGAGCUUAGUCUCAAAUUCUCAUCUAAAUCCUUGGAGUUUAGAUGCUUCGCGACCCUCGUCGUUCACUGCCCUCACCGGAACUCUCUGACUGCCACGUCGGAACUGGCGAUGAAGAUGGCGGUGGAAGGGUUAUCCCUAAACCUAAUCCAGAUGUUGCUCUUCUCUUAUGGGCUUAGCCCACAAUUUGGAAGUCAACUUUUAGGCCCACAAAGUCUCCAGUCUCGGCCCAACUUAAAAAAUAAAGUCUCAACCUUUUUACCAGACUGGCCCAGGUUUGUUUCUCCAAAAUUUUCUACAAGCCCACUAAAAUUGAAUUGUCUGCAGUUUGAACGGAUUGAAAGUGGACUCUAUUCCAUCUCUGCUUCGACAAGUUCUUUAAUCUGGUUUUGUAUCAUUCUCAACAUUAGCCUGGUUUUAAGCCCUCCUUGGCUUCUCAUGUUCACAAAUAUAUUCCGGUCAUUGCUCGAUGAAAUAUUUUCUAUGAAGGGGGAUAAAUUUGCAUUCUUAACCUCAUCUCGAUCGAGGUUGAUAGUUAGCUCCCGGAUUGGAAUUCAUUUGGUUGUUCUUGUCUCCAAGGCCUUAUGGUUUUCAUGUUGAAUUAUUGUUUUAAACCUAUCUAUCAUUCUCUUGCAAAUUUGAUCUUUGUUAUUGUUAUUGUAUCCAACCAAGAGGUUGAAGACCUUGUAAGCUUUUCUUCCUUUUGGAAAUGAAUGAAAUCAACUAUCUUUGCACAAAAAAA